This is a ribosomal RNA of 437 nucleotides. It matches the Rfam family "Bacterial small subunit ribosomal RNA", at positions 341 to 792 of the family's 1533-position model.
ACGGGAGGCAGCAGUGGGGAAUGUUAGGCAAUGGGGGAAACCCUGACCUAGCAACGCCGCGUGAAGGAUGAAGGUUUUCGGGUUGUAAACUUCUUUUAUCAGGGACGAAGGAAGUGACGGUACCUGAUGAAUAAGCCACGGCUAACUACGUGCCAGCAGCCGCGGUAAUACGUAGGUGGCAAGCGUUAUCCGGAUUUACUGGGUGUAAAGGGCGCGUAGGCGGGGAUGCAAGUCAGAUGUGAAAUCCAUGGGCUUAACCCAUGAACUGCAUUUGAAACUGUAUCUCUUGAGUGUCGGAGAGGUAGACGGAAUUCCUAGUGUAGCGGUGAAAUGCGUAGAUAUUAGGAGGAACACCAGUGGCGAAGGCGGUCUACUGGACGAUAACUGGCGCUGAGGCGCGAAAGCGUGGGGAGCAAACAGGAUUAGAUACCCUGGUA